UACGGAGGAUCCGAGCGUUAUCCGGAUUUAUUGGGUUUAAAGGGUGCGUAGGCGGCUUUUUAAGUCAGCGGUGAAAUUUUGCAGCUUAACUGUAACAGUGCCGUUGAUACUGGGGAGCUAGGAUUUGGUUGCUGUGGGUGGAAUGUGUGGUGUAGCGGUGAAAUGCUUAGAUAUCACACAGAAUAUCAAUUGCGAAGGCAGCUCACAAAGCCAAGAUUGACGCUGAGGCACGAAAGUGUGGGGAUCAAACAGGAUUAGA
Molecule: ribosomal RNA, 259 nt
Filed under: uncultured prokaryote
Description: partial 16S ribosomal RNA
Rfam family: Bacterial small subunit ribosomal RNA
Source: RNAcentral